This 76-nucleotide transfer RNA is filed under the name Verrucomicrobia bacterium GWF2_51_19. RNAcentral's name for it is "tRNA-Thr". It matches the Rfam family "tRNA". Rfam says of the family: Transfer RNA (tRNA) molecules are approximately 80 nucleotides in length. Their secondary structure includes four short double-helical elements and three loops (D, anti-codon, and T loops). Further hydrogen bonds mediate the characteristic L-shaped molecular structure. tRNAs have two regions of fundamental functional importance: the anti-codon, which is responsible for specific mRNA codon recognition, and the 3' end, to which the tRNAs corresponding amino acid is attached (by aminoacyl-tRNA synthetases). tRNAs cope with the degeneracy of the genetic code in two manners: having more than one tRNA (with a specific anti-codon) for a particular amino acid; and 'wobble' base-pairing, i.e. permitting non-standard base-pairing at the 3rd anti-codon position. RNAcentral also lists the same sequence under 1 other name. Lineage: Bacteria; Pseudomonadati; Verrucomicrobiota. The record is from RNAcentral.
GCCGGGAUAGCUCAGCUGGUAGAGCAACGCAUUCGUAAUGCGUGGGUCGUGGGUUCGAGUCCCAUUCCCGGCUCCA